Molecule: long non-coding RNA, 157 nt
Organism: Octopus sinensis (East Asian common octopus)
Lineage: Eukaryota; Metazoa; Mollusca; Cephalopoda; Octopoda; Octopodidae
Exons: 3
Source: RefSeq, a predicted model, not a curated record
CAAAAAUCUUUCACAAAACAUCCGUUCGCAUAAUAAGUUGUUAAAUACAAAUCUACUUAGUGAAAAUACUAACAUUGAUUUUGUUAACACUAUCCAUUCUUUAAAUAAUAAUAACUGCGGGGUUAUUGUUUCUGAAUUUGAAAACAAAAAAGCUCAU